UACCAGCUCUUCGAGUGGUGUGGAUGUUUAUUGGGCCUAAAGCAUCCGUAGCUGGCUGGGCAAGUCCCCUGUUAAAUCCACCGAUUUAAUCGUUGGAGUGCGGGGGAUACUGUUCGGCUAGGGGACGGGAGAGGCAGACGGUAUUUUCGGGGUAGGGGUGAAAUCCUAUAAUCCCGGGAAGACCACCAGUGGCGAAGGCUGUCUGCUAGAACGCGCCCGACGGUGAGGGACGAAAGCUGGGGGGAGCGAACCGGGAUUAGGUACCCGGGUAGUCCCAGCUGUAAACGAUGCAGGCUAGGUGUUUGGGCGGCCACGUGCCGCUCUAGUGCCGCAGGGAAGCCGUUAAGCCUGCCGCCUGGGGAGUACGGCCGCAAGGCUGAAACUUAAAGGAAUUGGCGGGGGAGCACCACAAGGGGUGAAGCUUGCGGUUU
RNAcentral lists this ribosomal RNA (431 nucleotides) under uncultured archaeon. Its description in RNAcentral is "bacterial SSU rRNA". It matches the Rfam family "Archaeal small subunit ribosomal RNA", at positions 474 to 903 of the family's 1478-position model. The record is from RNAcentral.